RNAcentral lists this ribosomal RNA (685 nucleotides) under Faecalibacterium prausnitzii. RNAcentral describes it as "bacterial SSU rRNA". It matches the Rfam family "Bacterial small subunit ribosomal RNA", at positions 440 to 1151 of the family's 1533-position model. The record is from RNAcentral. Lineage: Bacteria; Bacillati; Bacillota; Clostridia; Eubacteriales; Oscillospiraceae.
UGAGGAAGAUAAUGACGGUACYCAACAAGGAAGUGACGGCUAACUACGUGCCAGCAGCCGCGGUAAAACGUAGGUCACAAGCGUUGUCCGGAAUUACUGGGUGUAAAGGGAGCGCAGGCGGGAAGACAAGUUGGAAGUGAAAUCUAUGGGCUCAACCCAUAAACUGCUUUCAAAACUGUUUUUCUUGAGUAGUGCAGAGGUAGGCGGAAUUCCCGGUGUAGCGGUGGAAUGCGUAGAUAUCGGGAGGAACACCAGUGGCGAAGGCGGCCUACUGGGCACCAACUGACGCUGAGGCUCGAAAGUGUGGGUAGCAAACAGGAUUAGAUACCCUGGUAGUCCACACUGUAAACGAUGAUUACUAGGUGUUGGGGGAUUGACCCCCUCAGUGCCGCAGUUAACACAAUAAGUAAUCCACCUGGGGAGUACGACCGCAAGGUUGAAACUCAAAGGAAUUGACGGGGGCCCGCACAAGCAGUGGAGUAUGUGGUUUAAUUCGACGCAACGCGAAGAACCUUACCAAGUCUUGACAUCCUGCGACGAUSMUAGAAAUAKKAUUUUCCUUCGGGACGCAGAGACAGGUGGUGCAUGGUUGUCGUCAGCUCGUGUCGUGAGAUGUUGGGUUAAGUCCCGCAACGAGCGCAACCCCUAUGGUCAGUUACUACGCAAGAGGACUCUGGCCGGACUG